This 425-nucleotide ribosomal RNA is filed under the name uncultured bacterium. RNAcentral's name for it is "bacterial SSU rRNA". It matches the Rfam family "Bacterial small subunit ribosomal RNA", at positions 354 to 796 of the family's 1533-position model. The record is from RNAcentral.
GUGAGGAAUAUUGCACAAUGGAGGAAACUCUGAUGCAGCAACGCCGCGUGGAGGAUGACGCAUUUCGGUGUGUAAACUCCUUUUAAGAGGGAAGAUUAUGACGGUACCUCUUGAAUAAGCACCGGCUAACUCCGUGCCAGCAGCCGCGGUAAUACGGAGGGUGCAAGCGUUACUCGGAAUCACUGGGCGUAAAGGGUGCGUAGGCUGACUUUUAAGUCAGGUGUGAAAUCCAAUGGCUCAACCAUUGAACUGCACUUGAAACUGGGAGUCUAGAGUUCAGAAGGAGCAGAUGGAAUUAGUGGUGUAGGGGUAAAAUCCGUAGAUAUCACUAGGAAUAUCAAAAGCGAAGGCGAUCUGCUGGGAUGAUACUGACGCUGAGGCACGAAAGCGUGGGGAGCAAACAGGAUUAGAUACCCGUGUAGUCC